Molecule: long non-coding RNA, 822 nt
Filed under: Portunus trituberculatus (swimming crab)
Lineage: Eukaryota; Metazoa; Arthropoda; Malacostraca; Decapoda; Portunidae
Description: uncharacterized LOC123506100, transcript variant X1
Source: RNAcentral
UGAAGGUAAACACGUCAUCAAUCUAAACAAAGAAUGGAUUUGACUGAGAGUGACACAUAUGGAAUUUUAGUCGGCUAUUAAAAACAUAAAAUGAAUGUCAAGAAGUACUUAUAACAGCAUAGUGCCAUAUUCUUUAUCUGAUGAUACUGUGCCAAGUACGAGAUAGUUCCAGUGUUCGGAGACUUUCCCCCAUUCAGGCAGACCAGAAACUCAGUGAAGACUAGGACGAGGUGGAAGGAAGAAGGGAAGGAGAUCGUGCGUGCAGGAGUGCGUUAAAGGAGUGGUCGGAGUGUUAAUAGUGCAGCGAAGUGCCAGUUACGUUUGUGGUUGCUUAAUGCUUGUUCUUAGUCACCACCAUCACUACCACCGCCACCGCCAGGAGUGAAGGCAGUGGUGGUAGAUGCAGUCAGAGGAGUGUAGGUUCACUUGGAGACUCUCUAAAGUACAAACCAAUGGCACUAUCGCAAUCAGAGGACGAGAAAUAUUAGACUCGCUUCCACUCCGCUUUGUAUCUAUUAAUCUUAGUUCCUCUGAUCUGCUAUCUAGUAACGUAACCUGAGAGUUGAUACAUUGUAAGAAAAGAGGACGUCAGAUUGAGGGAAAGUUAAUGUAGGGAGUGCGAUAUGUAUGUCAACUAUAGUGACUGUGUCUCGACAAUAAGCUAAACACUUGGAGAGUCUUCAAUGUGAACGUCUAGGGAGCUCCUGCUAGUCAUCACCACCUCCACCACCACCACCAGUACCCUCUUUACGGCGAUCACCACAACAUUAGGAAAAAGCUCUGUCGCCUCCCUGCCGUGUCCUCCUUGUCCCCUGCCCCACU